This 433-nucleotide ribosomal RNA is filed under the name uncultured bacterium. RNAcentral's name for it is "bacterial SSU rRNA". It matches the Rfam family "Bacterial small subunit ribosomal RNA", at positions 29 to 507 of the family's 1533-position model. The record is from RNAcentral.
AACGUACGCUGGCGGCAGGCCUAACACAUGCAAGUCGAGCGAGACCUUAGGGUCUAGCGGCGGACGGGUGAGUAACGCGUGGGAACGUGCCCUUCUCUACGGAAUAGUCCCGGGAAACUGGGUUUAAUACCGUAUACGCCCUUCGGGGGAAAGAUUUAUCGGAGAAGGAUCGGCCCGCGUUAGAUUAGAUAGUUGGUGGGGUAAUGGCCUACCAAGUCUACGAUCUAUAGCUGGUUUUAGAGGAUGAUCAGCAACACUGGGACUGAGACACGGCCCAGACUCCUACGGGAGGCAGCAGUGGGGAAUCUUGGACAAUGGGGGCAACCCUGAUCCAGCCAUGCCGCGUGAGUGAUGAAGGCCUUAGGGUCGUAAAGCUCUUUCGCCAGGGAUGAUAAUGACAGUACCUGGUAAAGAAACCCCGGCUAACUCCGUG